UCUCAUUGACUUCUUGACAACGACUGAUUUACUCCACAAACUCUGAUGAUACUUUUCGCACUCCCCUCAGCCCUUUCUGGUUCAGUCUCUUGCUGCCCUUUACCCUUUCACCAUCCACUGCCCCGCUGUUAUCCGUAACCUGUUGCUCAUCCAUCUCCCUUUUGCCACCUGAUGCCCUCGCUUCCUUCCUGCCCUGCAGCGCUGUAUAGUCCUUGUGGCUUAGCGCUUCUUUUUGAUUAUAAUAAUAAUAAUUAAAGAAUGACGCCCCUCAGCAGAGGUGCCUUCAUGCCAGUGAGGAGCUCGAGCUCCUUCCCUUUCUUGCAUCAAAUCUGAGUGUCAUUCCACAGAUGCCAUAUAACCCCUUAUGGGUUUAGCACUUUCCCCUGAUUAAAAACAUGAAUGCUGCUACUGUGGGCUCUUGAUCCAAGGAAGUGGACCUGCCUUCCCUUUAGAUCAAAUCUGAAUGCCCCUCAUUGCUACCAGGCACUAUGUGACCCCUAUGGGUUUGGUACUCCCAAUUACAUAUAAUGGUACUGUAACAAUUAUUACUACUACUGCUAUGACCACCAGUAUUGCAUGCCAAUGUACGGGUGCUGCAGUGCCCUCUGACGAUCCUACCUUGUUAUCGAACCAUUCUUUGGACCUUUCUACCACCACGGUACCAUCUGCAGGUAACAUUUCGUUGCACACUACUGGUAUCAAGGUUCUGCCUGACUCCUUUGAUACCAUGCUUUCAGCUUCUCCCUCUACUGUACUACAAUUUUCAGAUAGCCAGGACAGACCACUUCUGGUUCCACACCUAAAUGACCACGACCAUUAAUAGAUGACACUGCUUUGAUUACCUCUUGCUGUUACCAGAAAAGACCAGCACAACCCUCACUCCCCUUACACACUACAUUUCAAAAUACACAAUGGACUAAGUUUUUCACUCUGCAGUCUACAUCUCCCACUGACUGUCUUUCUGAUCAUAGUAUCAGCAAAGCAAUCCUGUGCUAUGUUGGUCAAAAUAUUUCAUUUCAAGUUCUUAAGAGUGAUGCAUGCAUUGUCACAGUACAAAAUGCUGUCCAGGCUCAUAAUCUUUCCCUUCUUACCUCCAUAGAUAAUCCUCCUGUCAUAAUUCAAAAACUCGUGUCUCUCAAUUCUUUGCAAUGGUACCAUUGUUCAACAUGAUCUCCAGAUGUGCGAUGCCAACAUUCUGGAGCAACUUGAGCUCCAAGACCUCCCAGUUCUCAAAGUGGACACUUAUAUACUACUUUCCCUCAUCCUCAGUUUAUGUUGCGGGACACCAUUUACAAGUCCUAGAGUUGAUCCCUACACCACAACAGUGCAGAAAUUGCUGGUGCUUCGGCCACCCACCGAAAUAUUGCAGGUCCAUGGUAAAAUGCCCAUUCUGUGUUUGUAUGGUCAGCAGCUGCCUACCAUACCAAUACAUCCGGCAGCCUAUCUUUUGCUAAGCUUAAUUGUAAUAAUGCUUACCCAGCUUAUUCUCACCAUUGCUAAGUUUACUUAAAAGAACGAGAAAUCUGCUGUCUCAGAGAGAAUGGUUUCACUUAAACCAUGGCACUCUUCUCUCUGCCUCCAAGGGAGACUUCCAUGACUUUCUUAUUCUAGAGUUACUAAGAAGCCUCUAGCCUCAGUGGUACCUACUUCCAUGGUCUCCUCUGUGGUCACAACUUCCACAAUCACCUCUGUAUCUAACACUUGCAGCCCUGGACUCCAAACUGUCCUCGAGUCUUCAUCUUCUCGCUCGCAUGUUUCUGUGCCCACAAGACCUCCCACACCUACACUUAUAUAUGCGUUUGAAAGUGAAAAAAUGCCUGUUUCAUUUUACAGUGAUCUUCACUUUACAGCAGUAGCCCAGAACCUAACCUGCUGUAUAAGCGUGUUAGGUUCUGGGGUAAUUCGUCAGUAGCCAGAAAUCUCUGACAAACUCAGUCCUCAAGAUCACAUGGUGUAGGGAGACUACAGAUGCAGAGCUGUCCAUUACACAAGUCUGGAAGGCACUUAAGAUGCAGCCUUGGGAAUCCUGAGAUGUUCUGCCUCCAGUUGCAGGAUCAGCAUAAUUUUUUGUCUCAUUGAUGAACUUACCAAGUGGCCAUAUGUAAGCUACACUUGGUGAGCAUUUCUCAGAAAACAUUUGCUGUGCAACGUACAGUAGUCCCUCUGUACCUGCGGGGGAUGCAUUCCAGCACCUACUGUGGAUACCCAAUACCGCUGGUAGUAAUGAAACCUAUAGGUGUCAUUUUUCGUUUACAUACAUCCCUGAUAAAAAUUAAUUGAUAAAUUACGCACAAUAAGUUGAGAAUUAGCACUUUUUCACUGGUGGGAAGCACUUCACGGCCUCUCUUAGAGUUUGAAGAACUGCCAUCAUCACUAGUUUUGUGCCCUGGUGUUAUUAUUAAGCAAAAUUAAGGAUUAUUUUCAGGCCACAGUGGAAACUGAAUCCACAGAUGUGGGGGUUCUACUGUAUGUCAUAAAUGAGGCUAUACCUUCCUGUUUCAAGACUGAUGUAGACAAUGUCUUAGCAAUUACCAGAUGCUAAUAACCUUGGUACAGUGGAACCUCUACUUGUGAGCGUGUCCACAUGCGAGUUUUUCCAAAUACGAGCAGUUGAUGGGUCGAUUGUUUGCUUCCAUACACGAGCAAAAUUUCCACAAGCGAGCAGACCU
This is a long non-coding RNA of Cherax quadricarinatus, 2669 nucleotides long. RefSeq lists it as uncharacterized. NCBI's taxonomy places the organism in Eukaryota, Metazoa, Arthropoda, Malacostraca, Decapoda, Parastacidae. The record is from RefSeq and is a predicted model, not a curated record.